Molecule: ribosomal RNA, 443 nt
Filed under: uncultured bacterium
Lineage: Bacteria
Description: partial 16S ribosomal RNA
Rfam family: Bacterial small subunit ribosomal RNA
Source: RNAcentral
CCUACGGGCGGCAGCAGUGGGGAAUAUUGGGCAAUGGGCGCAAGCCUGACCCAGCAACGCCGCGUGAAGGAAGAAGGCUUUCGGGUUGUAAACUUCUUUUCUCAGGGACGAAACAAGUGACGGUACCUGAGGAAUAAGCCACGGCUAACUACGUGCCAGCAGCCGCGGUAAUACGUGGGGGGCAAGCGUUAGCCGGAUUUACUGGGUGUAAAGGGCGUGUAGGCGGGACUGGAAGUCAGAUGUGAAAACCACGGGCUCAACCCGUGGCCUGCAUGUGAAACUGUAGUUCUUGAGUACUGGAGAGGCAGACGGAAUUCCUAGUGUAGCGGUGAAAUGCGUAGAUAUUAGGAGGAACACCAGUGGCGAAGGCGGUCUGCUGGACAGCAACUGACGCUGAGGCGCGAAAGCGUGGGGAGCAAACGGGAUUAGAUACCCGUGUAGUC